RNAcentral lists this ribosomal RNA (618 nucleotides) under Triticum aestivum (bread wheat). RNAcentral's name for it is "partial small subunit ribosomal RNA". The record is from RNAcentral. Lineage: Eukaryota; Viridiplantae; Streptophyta; Magnoliopsida; Poales; Poaceae.
AUGGACGAUGGGGAGCCGGCCAGGGACUGGUCGCUGCUGCCCCUCGACGCCGUUGCCUCGAUCUUCAUCAGGCUCGGCGCCGUCGAGGUCCUCAUGGGCGCCGGCCUCGUGUGCCGCUCGUGGCUCGAGGCGGCCAAGUUGCCAGAUGUGUGGCGAGCCGUGGACAUGGAGAACCACGAGGUGGUGUUCCGGAAGAACAGACUUGUCCUGCGCGCAAUGGCGAAGGCAGCCGUCGACCGCUCCGACGGACAGCUUCGGGUGUUCGCCGGGAGGUUCUUUGUCACCGAUGAGCUCCUACACUAUAUCUUAGAAAGGUCGCCUUCACUCUCUACCCUGAGGCUUGUAUGGUGCAACGUCUUCAGGGCACCACUCGUCAAUGUGAUGAGAGAGUCGCCUCUGUUGGAGCUGCGUUCCCUUGAACUUGAAAUAUCUCGCAUCACCGUGGGAGUACUGAGCGACGUCCUUGAGAACUGCCCUCGCCUGGAGGUUCUUUGGGUGCGCGAUUGCUCCGGGAUCAAGGACCACCACGAGCAUGCCCUGCGAGCGCAAUUCCCACGGAUACAGACCAUCACCGUCGAACGUGAUGUUGCGUUCCUUUGGCCUGCCUGUUCUGAUUAA